This is a non-coding RNA of Lepisosteus oculatus (spotted gar), 736 nucleotides long. NCBI's taxonomy places the organism in Eukaryota, Metazoa, Chordata, Actinopteri, Semionotiformes, Lepisosteidae. The record is from RefSeq and is a predicted model, not a curated record.
GAUUAUCUCUUUCUUUUCUUUGGUAUUUGAUUUCCUUGCCUGCUUCUCGUUUUUGACUUCGCCUUCUGUUUUGGAUUGCUGCUUCCUCGUUGUACCUUCGUGUUCUGACCUACUCACCUGCUUCCUGGUUUUCUUUUUUGCUUGGCGAGUCCUGCACAGGAUCCAUUCACCCUAUCAGCCCCAUUCUGACAGUGCAGUGGCGAUAGUUCUGUGGUGUAUGCUAACUUCCUUCUCUGCUCCCUGCGCUGUCAGCACCUGCAGGAGCUCUGCACGAUGCUGAUCCUGACAGCCCAGAGGUCCGUGACUCUGCUGCCUUUGCCCUGUACUCAUUCAACUUCUUCAACAAGGACCCCUACCUCUACAAAAUAACCACGUUUGAGUCUGUGAAAGAGAAGGAUGUUGGUGGGGGAGAGUACAUAAUGGAUGUGCUGCUGCAAAAAACCCAGUGCAGGAAAAAAGAGGAUACUGACCCUCAGUCUUGCCUACUUAUGACAAGCCUACAAGACACAAAGGCCCUCCUGUGUCAUUUUGUGGUCUUGAAUGCUCCCUGGAAGCAGGAGAGAGUGCUGAUUGAAAGUCAGUGCCACCCGAGACAACAGGGACAGUGAGGGGCUGGAGUUCCUGGCUCUGUAUCUAGCACUCUUACUGAUUGAACAAUAAAAAAAAAAAUGAAAGAGUGAUAUCACAUACUGUCUUACUGUUUAUUACAUUUCCUCAAAUAUGCCCUAAAACAUUA